GAUGAACGCUGGCGGCGUGCCUAAUACAUGCAAGUCGAGCGAACGGGCGAGAAGCUUGCUUCUCUGACGUUAGCGGCGGACGGGUGUGUAACAUGUGUAUAACCCACCUAUAAUACUGGGAUAACUUCGUAAAACCGGAGCUAACACCGGAUGAUAUCUUGCACCGCAUGGUUCAAAAGUGAAAGACGGUCGUGCUGUCACUAAUAGAUGGAUCCGCGCUGCAUUAGCUAGUUGGUAGGGUAAUGGCUUACCAAGGCAACGAUGCAUAGCCGACCUGAGAGGGUGAUCGGCGACACGGGAACUGAGACGGGGUCCAGAGUCCUACGGGACGGAGCAGUCUAGAAUGUUCGGCAACUGGCGACAACCUGGCAGAGCAGCGCCGCGUCAGUGAUGGAGGCCCUCCGUUCGUAAAGCCCUGUUAUUAGGGAAGAACCUCUGUGUAAUUAAACGUGCACAUAUUGACGGUACCUGGUCAAAAAGCCACGGCUAACUACGUG
RNAcentral lists this ribosomal RNA (497 nucleotides) under uncultured bacterium. Its description in RNAcentral is "partial 16S ribosomal RNA". It matches the Rfam family "Bacterial small subunit ribosomal RNA", at positions 28 to 507 of the family's 1533-position model. The record is from RNAcentral.